GGGUUGUGAGGUUAAGCGACUAAGCGUACACGGUGGAUGCCCUGGCAGUCAGAGGCGAUGAAGGACGUGCUAAUCUGCGAUAAGCGCCGGUAAGGUGAUAUGAACCGUUAUAACCGGCGAUUUCCGAAUGGGGAAACCCAGUGUGAUUCGUCACACUAUCAUUAACUGAAUCCAUAGGUUAAUGAGGCGAACCGGGGGAACUGAAACAUCUAAGUACCCCGAGGAAAAGAAAUCAACCGAGAUUCCCCCAGUAGCGGCGAGCGAACGGGGAGGAGCCCAGAGCCUGAAUCAGCAUGUGUGUUAGUGGAAGCGUCUGGAAAGGUGCGCGAUACAGGGUGACAGCCCCGUACACAAAAGCGCAUGUGCUGUGAGCUCGAUGAGUAGGGCGGGACACGUGGUAUCCUGUCUGAAUAUGGGGGGACCAUCCUCCAAGGCUAAAUACUCCUGACUGACCGAUAGUGAACCAGUACCGUGAGGGAAAGGCGAAAAGAACCCCGGCGAGGGGAGUGAAAAAGAACCUGAAACCGUGUACGUACAAGCAGUGGGAGCACAGGUUUACCUGUGUGACUGCGUACCUUUUGUAUAAUGGGUCAGCGACUUAUAUUCUGUAGCAAGGUUAACCGUAUAGGGGAGCCGGAGGGAAACCGAGUCUUAAUUGGGCGUUAAGUUGCAGGGUAUAGACCCGAAACCCGGUGAUCUAGCCAUGGGCAGGUUGAAGGUUGGGUAACACUAACUGGAGGACCGAACCGACUAAUGUUGAAAAAUUAGCGGAUGACCUGUGGCUGGGGGUGAAAGGCCAAUCAAACCGGGAGAUAGCUGGUUCUCCCCGAAAGCUAUUUAGGUAGCGCCUCGUGAAUUCAUCUCCGGGGGUAGAGCACUGUUUCGGCUAGGGGGCCAUCCCGGCUUACCAACCCGAUGCAAACUGCGAAUACCGGAGAAUGUUAUCACGGGAGACACACGGCGGGUGCUAACGUCCGUCGUGAAGAGGGAAACAACCCAGACCGCCAGCUAAGGUCCCAAAGUCAUGGUUAAGUGGGAAACGAUGUGGGAAGGCCCAGACAGCCAGGAUGUUGGCUUAGAAGCAGCCAUCAUUUAAAGAAAGCGUAAUAGCUCACUGGUCGAGUCGGCCUGCGCGGAAGAUGUAACGGGGCUAAACCAUGCACCGAAGCUGCGGCAGCGAACGUAUCACCCAAGACAACUUUACGGAGUUGACGAUUGACGGAGCGAAGCGACGUCAAAGCGUUCAUUAAAGUCGAGUUGGCUUAGGGAUACGUUCGUUGGGUAGGGGAGCGUUCUGUAAGCCUGUGAAGGUGUGUCGUGAGGCAUGCUGGAGGUAUCAGAAGUGCGAAUGCUGACAUAAGUAACGAUAAAGCGGGUGAAAAGCCCGCUCGCCGGAAGACCAAGGGUUCCUGUCCAACGUUAAUCGGGGCAGGGUGAGUCG
Molecule: ribosomal RNA, 1441 nt
Filed under: Salmonella enterica subsp. enterica serovar Heidelberg
Lineage: Bacteria; Pseudomonadati; Pseudomonadota; Gammaproteobacteria; Enterobacterales; Enterobacteriaceae
Description: bacterial LSU rRNA
Rfam family: Bacterial large subunit ribosomal RNA
Source: RNAcentral